This 254-nucleotide ribosomal RNA is filed under the name uncultured bacterium. Its description in RNAcentral is "partial 16S ribosomal RNA". It matches the Rfam family "Bacterial small subunit ribosomal RNA", at positions 524 to 776 of the family's 1533-position model. The record is from RNAcentral.
UACGGGGGGAGCAAGCGUUGUUCGGCUUUACUGGGCGUAAAGGGCGCGUAGGCGGCCACCGCAAGUCGGUUGUGAAAUCUCUGGGCUUAACCCAGAAAGGUCAACCGAUACUGCGGGGCUAGAGUGCAGAAGGGGCAACUGGAAUUCUCGGUGUAGCGGUGAAAUGCGUAGAUAUCGAGAGGAACACCUGCGGCGAAGGCGGGUUGCUGGGCUGACACUGACGCUGAAGCGCGAAAGCUAGGGGAGCGAACGGG